This 294-nucleotide unclassified non-coding RNA is filed under the name Hevea brasiliensis (rubber tree). Lineage: Eukaryota; Viridiplantae; Streptophyta; Magnoliopsida; Malpighiales; Euphorbiaceae. The record is from RNAcentral.
GGAGUAAUAAUCCCAACAUGAACCAAUUUGACUUGGAAUCUGUGGCUGCUCAUGAAAUUGGUCAUCUUCUUGGGCUUGCACACAGUCAGGAUUCAAAUGCCAUUAUGUUUUCAAUAAUUCCAAUAGGGACUAUCAAAAGGGAACUCAUCCAAGAUGAUAUUGAUGGCAUACAUGCUCUCUACCCUAAUUAAUCAACCAUAAUCUUUGUUUUACAUGGAAUAAUCAAAAAGCAAUUAAUUCACGUGUUCAUGUUUAAUUAUCAAAUAUGAAAGGAUCUUAAUCCAUUGUAUAUGG